Molecule: ribosomal RNA, 242 nt
Filed under: uncultured bacterium
Lineage: Bacteria
Description: partial 16S ribosomal RNA
Rfam family: Bacterial small subunit ribosomal RNA
Source: RNAcentral
UAAUACGGAGGGGGCGAGCGUUAUUCGGAAUUAUUGGGCGUAAAGAGCUCGUAGGCGGCUCAGUAAGUCAGGUGUGAAAACUCCAGGCUCAACCUGGAGACGCCACUUGAUACUGCUGUGGCUAGAGUCCGGUAGGGGAGCAUGGAAUUCCUGGUGUAGCGGUGAAAUGCGCAGAUAUCAGGAGGAACACCAGUGGCGAAGGCGGUGCUCUGGGCCGGAACUGACGCUGAGGAGCGAAAGCG